This 393-nucleotide ribosomal RNA is filed under the name uncultured bacterium. RNAcentral describes it as "bacterial SSU rRNA". It matches the Rfam family "Bacterial small subunit ribosomal RNA", at positions 28 to 428 of the family's 1533-position model. The record is from RNAcentral.
GACGAACGCUGGCGGCGUGCUUAACACAUGCAAGUCGAGCGGUAAGGCCCUUUCGGGGUACACGAGCGCGAACGGGUGAGUAACACGUGGGUGACCUGCCCUCAGCUCUGGGAUAAGCCCGGGAAACUGGGUCUAAUACCGGAUAUGACUCCAUGACGCAUGUUGUGGGGUGGAAAGCCUUGUGCGGCUGAGGAUGGGCCCGCGGCCUAUCAGCUUGUUGGUGGGGUGAGGCCUACCAAGGCGACGACGGGUAGCCGGCCUGAGAGGGCGACCGGCCACACUGGGACUGAGAUACGGCCCAGACUCCUACGGGAGGCAGCAGUGGGGAAUCUUGCGCAAUGGGCGAAAGCCUGACGCAGCGACGCCGCGUGAGGGAUGACGGCCUGGUUGUAA